This is a long non-coding RNA of Homo sapiens (human), 824 nucleotides long. Ensembl annotates it as MLIP antisense RNA 1. Its record names the gene MLIP-AS1. NCBI's taxonomy places the organism in Eukaryota, Metazoa, Chordata, Mammalia, Primates, Hominidae. The record is from Ensembl.
GGGUUCCGCUUGACUCUGCAUUCUCCUACUUCCCUGCCUGCUUACUCUCUGCCAUCAUAGUUUUUUGCUUCAACCUUCAAAUGUAGCCAUUCUUUUUCUAAAGCGGUACUUAUUCUCUUUAUUAGUUAAAAUUAUUAAUUUUAUGCACUUACUGUUCUAGCUCCAAUUUUGCAUUUCCAGUUCCCUGCUGGGAAUAAAUUAAAUUGGCAGAAGCUCAGUCUAAGUGCCUGCAACAGAAUUUGUCCCAUAUCCAUACAACUUGCUCCUCCACAACAAAUGGGAGAAUCAUCCUCUUACCUCCAGGUUGUACAGGAAACAGCUGGGGAGGCCUCAGGAAACUUACAAUCAUGGCACAAGGUGAAGAGGAAGGAGUUACGUUUUGCACGGCCAGAGAAGUAGGAAGAGCGUAAAGUGGGAGGUGCUACACAUUUUUGGACAACUAGAUCUCGUGAGAACUCAAUAUCACAAGAACAGCAAGGGGAAAAUCCACGCCCAUGAUCCAGUCACCUCCCACCAGGUCCCUCUUCCAACACUGGGGAUUAAAAUUCAACAUGAGAUUCAAGAGGAGACACAAAUCCAAACCAUAUCAAGGCUGUGAUGGAGGAGAAGCUACCCCUCAGCACAGGAUUUUGGUAGAAUAAGAAUAAAAAUGACAAGUCCCUUCCUGAAAAGCUCUUCAUUGUCUCUUGAAAACGGUCUGUGAAAGUGCCAAACCACCAGCUCUCCAGAUGUGGCUGAAUAUCAAGGCAUCCUCACAUGGUGGAAGGGACAGAAGGCAAAAAAGGGAGGAACACUGUGUCCUCACAUGGCAGAAGAGCAGAAGA